This 465-nucleotide ribosomal RNA is filed under the name uncultured bacterium. RNAcentral's name for it is "partial 16S ribosomal RNA". It matches the Rfam family "Bacterial small subunit ribosomal RNA", at positions 28 to 507 of the family's 1533-position model. The record is from RNAcentral.
GACGAACGCUGGCGGCGUGCUUAACACAUGCAAGUCGAACGGAAAGGCCCUGCUUGCAGGGUCCUCGAGUGGCGAACGGGUGAGUAACACGUGGGUGAUCUGCCCUGCACUUCGGGAUAAGCCUGGGAAACUGGGUCAAAUACCGGAUAGGAGCCAUUUUUAGUGUGAUGGUUGGAAAGUUUUUUCGGUGUAGGAUGAGCUCGCGGCCUAUCAGCUUGUUGGUGGGGUAAUGGCCUACCAAGGCGGCGACGGGUAGCCGGCCUGAGAGGGUGGACGGCCACAUUGGGACUGAGAGACGGCCCAGACUCCUACGGGAGGCAGCAGUGGGGAAUAUUGCACAAUGGGCGCAAGCCUGAUGCAGCGACGCCGCGUGGGGGAUGACGGCCUUCGGGUUGUAAACUCCUUUCGCGAGGGACGAAGCUUUUUGUGACGGUACCUAGAUAAGAAGCACCGGCUAACUACGUG